Non-coding RNA from Nicotiana tabacum (common tobacco), 845 nucleotides. NCBI's taxonomy places the organism in Eukaryota, Viridiplantae, Streptophyta, Magnoliopsida, Solanales, Solanaceae. The record is from RefSeq and is a predicted model, not a curated record.
CGGAGUUGGAUAAAUACAUUAGUGAAGAACAAGAGCCUUUUAGUGAAGAAUUUGAUAUCUUGAGUUGGUGAAAAACACAUGCUCCUAGAUUUCCUAUUCUUUCGGAGUUGGCUCGUGAUGUGUUGGCAAUACCAAUUUCUAGUGUGGCGUCGGAAUGCGCGUUUAGCACUGGUGGCCGUAUUCUUGAUUCAUUUAGGAGUUCAUUGACUCCUAAAUGUGUGCAAGCUCUUAUUUGUGUUCAAGAUUGGCUUAGAGAAGAGAAGAAUCCUAUUAGUGUUGAAGAAGACUUGAAGUAUCUUGAGGAACUCGAGCUUUAUAUGGAAAAUAAUGGAAGCACUACUAGCAUUGUUUGAUGUAUAGUUGCAACUUGCAUCUUGAGUGUUCAAGUGCAAUCAUGCCCCGUGCUACUACUCAACGCCCCGUGCUACUGCUCAAGACUGUUUGUUGAGGGAUGCCCUCUCUGUUUUUGUUGCACUAUGUUUAACUGUUUAAGUGUUAAGACUGUGCAGACUUGCAGUUGGCCAGUUGCAGUGUUGCACUGUGUUUAAGUGUUAAUACUUAGGAGUUAAGACUGUUUUUGUUGGACUGUGUUUAACUGUGUUUAAGUUGUUGGACUUGUUGGACUGUGCUAAGUGUUUAACUAUGUUUAUGUUGUUUAAUAUAGUUGUGUAAUAUGCAUUGUGCAGUUGGCUAGCUUUUGCCAACUACAGUAUACGCCAGAUUCAUUGCAAGUUUGUAUAUGACAUACAGUAUUGACAUACAGUAUUGACUAUAUGAAAUUGUAAGUAUACUGGCGUGCAAGUUUGUAUAAUGUGUAUUGACUAUAUGACAUACAGUAUUGACUA